Molecule: ribosomal RNA, 701 nt
Filed under: Xenoligophoroides cobitis
Lineage: Eukaryota; Metazoa; Platyhelminthes; Monogenea; Dactylogyridea; Ancyrocephalidae
Description: eukaryotic LSU rRNA
Rfam family: Eukaryotic large subunit ribosomal RNA
Source: RNAcentral
UGGUGUUAAGGCGUGUACCUGGGACUGCGGGUCUACUCUAAGUCCAACUCCGAUUGUGGCUUUGGAUUGUGCCCAGAGCGGGUGAAAGGCCCGUACGGGUAUACAGUGCUUUUUCGCGGUCCUCAGAUGUGCAUGCUUUCGAGUCGGAUUGCUUGACAAUGCAGGCCAAAGAGGGGGGUAAACUCCAUCCAAGGCUAAAUACUGGCACGAGUCCGAUAGUACACAAUUACCGUGAGGGAAAGUUGAAAAGUACUCUGAAGAGAGAGUAAAUAGUACGUGAAGCCGAUUACAGGGAAGCUGGUGGAGUCAAGCUUCGUGCUUGGAGAAUUUUCACUUGUAGCCUCGUUGUGCUAGAGGUCGUGCUUGGUCAGCUUGGAAAAAGUUGGACACACUCGUGUGUUUCAAGUUGCUCUGGGUUGUGCUUUUGAGCCACGUAUUGAUCCUUAGCUGCAAGUGUUCUAUUCUCCUGUGCACAGGUCACAGUCGAUGACCAUGUGCUGUGUGAUUGUCUAACCGUGCUUUAGCAGGCCUCGUGCUUGCUGGGUGCCGAAUGCCAAGUGGUGCUCUUAUGCUUUUAGUGUAUUGGCGCUUAUCACGGUUUCCACCAUUGUGAUGAUCGCUGCAGUAUCGUGUGUUGUCGAGUCUUUCAGGUGCUUCGCCUUCGGGCUACGUGCCAAUGAUAGCUGAGACUUUGAGGUACA